Molecule: transfer RNA, 71 nt
Filed under: Kofleriaceae bacterium
Lineage: Bacteria; Pseudomonadati; Myxococcota; Haliangiales; Kofleriaceae
Description: tRNA-Met
Rfam family: tRNA
About the family: Transfer RNA (tRNA) molecules are approximately 80 nucleotides in length. Their secondary structure includes four short double-helical elements and three loops (D, anti-codon, and T loops).
Source: RNAcentral
UGCGCGCUAGUCUAAUGGCAAAACGCCGGGCUCAUAAUCCGGAUUUCCAGGUUCGAAUCCUGGGUGCGCAA